Molecule: non-coding RNA, 30 nt
Filed under: Homo sapiens (human)
Lineage: Eukaryota; Metazoa; Chordata; Mammalia; Primates; Hominidae
Source: RNAcentral
UCCCUUCCCCAGAGGCUGAUGCCCACCUCC